This 451-nucleotide ribosomal RNA is filed under the name uncultured bacterium. Its description in RNAcentral is "partial 16S ribosomal RNA". It matches the Rfam family "Bacterial small subunit ribosomal RNA", at positions 354 to 796 of the family's 1533-position model. The record is from RNAcentral.
GUGGGGAAUAUUGGACAAUGGGGGGAACCCUGAUCCAGCCAUGCCGCGUGUGUGAAGAAGGCCUUUUGGUUGUAAAGCACUUUAAGCGAGGAGGAGGCUACCGAGAUUAAUACUCUUGGAUAGUGGACGUUACUCGCAGAAUAAGCACCGGCUUACUCUGUGCCAGCAGCCGCGGUAAUACAGAGGGUGCAAGCGUUAAUCGUAUUUACUGGGCGUAAAGCGCGCGUAGGUGGCCAAUUAAGUCAAAUGUGAAGUCCACGAGCUUAACUUGGGAAUUGCAUUCGAUACUGGAUGGCUAGAGUAUGGGAGAGGAUGGUAGAAUUCCAGGUGUAGCGGUGAAAUGCGUCGAGAUCUGGAGGAAUACCGAUGGCGAAGGCAGCCAUCUAGCCUAAUACUGACACUGAGGUGCGAAAGCAUGGGGAGCAAACAGGAUUAGAUACCCGGGUAGUCC